AUUUGUUUCAUGAUUAAUUUUACAUGUAAUAUACUUUUAAAUGUAGAGUACAUUUCUCUCUGUGAAAUUUGUUUUCUUACAAAGUUGGUGAUUUUCAGAUGGGUGCUUCAUAUCUGAGAAAGCUCACUCACCACAAUGUCUACUGCUGCCUGCUUCCCAUGAUCCUCAAGGGGGUAGAGAUAUGCCAUCCAGCAUGUUGUCCUAUGGAUAUGGGGAUAUCUGCUCUUCCUCAGAAUCAGUUACUGCAGCUACUUGGAGUCAACCAUGGCCUGGAAGCAGAUGAUCUCUUAAUAUGUUGUAUCCUAACAAUACAUCACAACACCCAUGUCAUUCACCUUACUUCAUCUCAUCACUUUGGUGUUUUAUCUCACACCAUCACAAGAAAGGUGAGUAUAGUAGUAAAAUAAGGUAUUUUGAGGGAGACCACAUUCACAUAUUUUUUUUUGUUAUAGUAUAUUUUUUGUUAGAGUAUAUUUAUUACAACAUAUUGUUAUAAUUGUUCCAUUUUGUUUUUAGCUAUUGUUACUUUCUUAUUGUGCCUAACUUAAAAGUUAAACUUUGUCAGAUGUAUUUAUGUAUGGGAAAAGAAAUGUAUAUAGCAUUUG
RNAcentral lists this long non-coding RNA (605 nucleotides) under Mustela putorius furo (domestic ferret). Its description in RNAcentral is "lncRNA (ENSMPUG00000031870.1)". The record is from RNAcentral. Lineage: Eukaryota; Metazoa; Chordata; Mammalia; Carnivora; Mustelidae.